This 496-nucleotide ribosomal RNA is filed under the name uncultured bacterium. RNAcentral describes it as "partial 16S ribosomal RNA". It matches the Rfam family "Bacterial small subunit ribosomal RNA", at positions 28 to 523 of the family's 1533-position model. The record is from RNAcentral.
GACGAACGCUGGCGGCGUGCUUAACACAUGCAAGUCGAACGAGAACCUAUGGAACGAGGAUUCGUCCAAGUGAAAUAGAGGACAGUGGCGGACGGGUGAGUAACGCGUGAGGAACCUGCCUUUCAGAGGGGGACAACAGUUGGAAACGACUGCUAAUACCGCAUAAUAUAUAGAUGUCGCAUGGCAUUUAUAUCAAAGAUUUAUCGCUGAAAGAUGGCCUCGCGUCUGAUUAGCUAGUUGGUGAGGUAACGGCCCACCAAGGAGACGAUCAGUGGCCGGACUGAUAGGUUGAUCGGCCACAUUGGAACUGAGAUACGGCCCAGACCCCUACGAGAGGCAGCAGUGGGGAAUAUUGGGCAAUGGGCGCAAGCCUGACCCAGCAACGCCGCGUGAAGGAAGAAGGCUUUCGGGUCGUAAACUUCUUUUGUCAGGGACGAGUAGAAGACGGUACCUGACGAAUAAGCCACGGCUAACUACGUGCCAGCCGCCGCCGUAA